AAGAAGUCAGGCCCCAAAGCCACGGUUUGAGCAAACCGUGCUGCCUGUAGCUCCGUCGUGGGGACGUAAAACCUGGGAGGCUGCAAACUGUGGAAGCUGUACGCACGGUGUAGCAGACUAGCGGUUAGAGGAGACCCCUCCCAUGACACAACGCAGCAGCGGGGCCCGAGCACUGAGGGAAGCUGUACCUCCUUGCAGAGGACUAGAGGUUAGAGGAGACCCCCCGCAAACAAAAACAGCAUAUUGACGCUGGG
RNAcentral lists this long non-coding RNA (254 nucleotides) under dengue virus type 3. Its description in RNAcentral is "Dengue virus type 3 partial sfRNA2". The stretch from base 76 to 147 matches the Rfam family "Flavivirus DB element". The record is from RNAcentral. Lineage: Riboviria; Orthornavirae; Kitrinoviricota; Flasuviricetes; Amarillovirales; Flaviviridae.